AUAUUGGACAAUGGGGGCAACCCUGAUCCAGCAAUGCCGCGUGUGUGAAGAAGGCCUUCGGGUUGUAAAGCUCUUUUGUCAGGGAAGAAACGGUGGGGGCUAAUAUCCCCCGCUAAUGACGGUACCUGAAGAAUAAGCAUCGGCUAACUACGUGCCAGCAGCCGCGGUAAAACGUAGGACGCAAGCGUUAUCCGGAGUUACUGGGCGUAAAGGGCGUGUAGGCGGCACUUCAAGUUCGGCGUGAAAGCCUCCGGCUCAACCGGGGAGGGUCGAGGGAGACUGAAGCGCUGGAGGACGGUAGAGGGACAGGGAAUUCCGGGUGUAGUGGUGAAAUGCGUAGAGAUCCGGAGGAACACCAGUGGCGAAGGCGCUGUCCUGGGCCGUUGCUGACGCUGAGACGCGACAGCAUGGGGAGCGAAC
This 420-nucleotide ribosomal RNA is filed under the name uncultured bacterium. Its description in RNAcentral is "bacterial SSU rRNA". It matches the Rfam family "Bacterial small subunit ribosomal RNA", at positions 361 to 773 of the family's 1533-position model. The record is from RNAcentral.